This 465-nucleotide ribosomal RNA is filed under the name uncultured bacterium. Its description in RNAcentral is "partial 16S ribosomal RNA". It matches the Rfam family "Bacterial small subunit ribosomal RNA", at positions 338 to 795 of the family's 1533-position model. The record is from RNAcentral.
CCUACGGGUGGCAGCAGUGGGGAAUAUUGCACAAUGAGCGAAAGCCUGACGCAGCGACACAGCGUGAAGGAUGAAGGUCUUCGGAUCGUAAAGCGCUGUCAGCAGGGAAGAACGGUCACUGUGCUAAUCAGCAGUAAAUUGACGGUACCUUGAAAGAAAGCACCGGCUAACUCCGUGCCAGCAGCCGCGGUAAUACGGAGGGUGCGAGCGUUAAUCGGAAUUACUGGGCGUAAAGCGCUCGUAGGCGGUAUGUCAAGUCAAGGGUGAAAUCCCCGCGCUCAACGGGGGAACUGCUUUGGAAACUGGCAAACUGGAGUGUGUGAGAGGAUAGUGGAAUUCCAGGUGUAGGAGUGAGAUCCGUAGAUAUCUGGAGGAACAUCAGUGGCGAAGGCGACUAUCUGGGACAUAACUGACGCUGAGGAGCGAAAGCGUGGGGAGCAAACAGGAUUAGAUACCCGGGUAGUC